Molecule: ribosomal RNA, 468 nt
Filed under: uncultured bacterium
Lineage: Bacteria
Description: partial 16S ribosomal RNA
Rfam family: Bacterial small subunit ribosomal RNA
Source: RNAcentral
GACGAACGCUGGCGGCGUGCUUAACACAUGCAAGUCGAACGGAAAGGCCCUGCUUUUGUGGGGUGCUCGAGUGGCGAACGGGUGAGUAACACGUGAGUAACCUGCCCUUGACUUUGGGAUAACUUCAGGAAACUGGGGCUAAUACCGGAUAGGAGCACAUGCUGCAUGGCGGGGGUUGGAAAGUUUCGGUGGUUGGGGUGGGACGCGCGGCUUAUCAGCUUGUUGGUGGGGUAGGGGCUUACCAAGGCUUUGACGGGUAGCCGGCCUGAGAGGGUGACCGGCCACAUUGGGACUGAGAUACGGCCCAGACUCCUACGGGAGGCAGCAGUGGGGAAUACUGCACAAUGGGCGGAAGCCUGAUGCAGCAACGCCGCGUGCGGGAUGACGGCCUUCGGGUUGUAAACCGCUUUCGCCUGUGACGAAGCGUGAGUGACGGUAAUGGGUAAAGAAGCACCGGCUAACUACGUG